RNAcentral lists this ribosomal RNA (253 nucleotides) under uncultured bacterium. RNAcentral's name for it is "partial 16S ribosomal RNA". It matches the Rfam family "Bacterial small subunit ribosomal RNA", at positions 524 to 776 of the family's 1533-position model. The record is from RNAcentral.
UACGGAGGGAGCUAGCGUUGUUCGGAAUUACUGGGCGUAAAGCGCACGUAGGCGGCUUUUUAAGUCAGAGGUGAAAUCCCGGGGCUCAACCCCGGAACUGCCUUUGAAACUGGAGAGCUAGAAUCUUGGAGAGGCGAGUGGAAUUCCGAGUGUAGAGGUGAAAUUCGUAGAUAUUCGCAAGAACACCAGUGGCGAAGGCGGCUCACUGGCCCGGUACUGACGCUGAGGUGCGAAAGCGUGGGGAGCAAACAGG